GACGAACGCUGGCGGCGUGCCUAAUACAUGCAAGUAGAACGCUGAAGGAGGAGCUUGCUUCUCUGGAUGAGUUGCGAACGGGUGAGUAACGCGUAGGUAACCUGCCUGGUAGCGGGGGAUAACUAUUGGAAACGAUAGCUAAUACCGCAUAAUAGUAGAUGUUGCAUGACAUUUGCUUAAAAGGUGCAAUUGCAUCACUACCAGAUGGACCUGCGUUGUAUUAGCUAGUUGGUGGGGUAACGGCUCACCAAGGCGACGAUACAUAGCCGACCUGAGAGGGGGAUCGGCCACACUGGGACUGAGACAAGGCCCAGACUCCUACGGGAGGCAGCAGUAGGGAAUCUUCGGCAAUGGACGGAAGUCUGACCGAGCAACGCCGCGUGAGUGAAGAAGGUUUUCGGAUCGUAAAGCUCUGUUGUAAGAGAAGAACGAGUGUGAGAGUGGAAAGUUCACACUGUGACGGUAUCUUACCAGAAAGGGACGGCUAACUACGUG
RNAcentral lists this ribosomal RNA (495 nucleotides) under uncultured bacterium. RNAcentral's name for it is "partial 16S ribosomal RNA". It matches the Rfam family "Bacterial small subunit ribosomal RNA", at positions 28 to 507 of the family's 1533-position model. The record is from RNAcentral.